ACCGAUGAUGUGGAUUGCUAUAGACACAACAAUUGGAAUGUUAACUGCCUCCGUUAUGUCAAAACGGCAAGUAGUUGACUCCAUUAAACCGCUUGAACGAGAACAUUAUGCAACUAAAAGACAAGCAGGCUAAUACGAGCAUCCGCCCAACACCGAAUAUCUGAGCUUGAGAUCACAUGAGGCAUUUUAUGGUACGAUGUGACCAAUAACAACAACAGGUAGAUAUCAAGAUACCACUGAAUGUCUGAUGUGAAGGUCACAAGGUGCGCGUCCUGACAGCGUGUGGUCCGGGGUUGUCCGGCAUGAACCUGAAGCAAAGGGAGAUGUAGUUUGCAGAUAACACGUUCUGUUGUGUUUGAAAAGUAUUGCAAGAGUGAGAUAAAACUUGAUACUACUGUGCUAUAAGAUGAACGACACUCAACAAUUAGUCUUCAUCCUGCAAGCUCCUGACCUGGUUUGAAGAUAUGAAAUCUAAAUUGUUUAAUAAAACAAAUUCCUUUCGUAACAAAUGAGCAUUUAUUUCAAGAUUGAAAGUGAUGUUAAAUAGUUUAAUAUAAAAUAUUGUUUUCCGAAGAAUUGUUUUACAAAAUAGAAAAACAUACUUAAAUGAUAAUCACAACUGACCGAUAAUAUUUUUUCGACUAAACGUACAUAGACAAAUGAUCUGUUGCAGACGCCCUCCGAUUUUUUAACAUAAGCA
Molecule: long non-coding RNA, 700 nt
Organism: Mya arenaria
Lineage: Eukaryota; Metazoa; Mollusca; Bivalvia; Myida; Myidae
Exons: 3
Source: RefSeq, a predicted model, not a curated record